This 253-nucleotide ribosomal RNA is filed under the name uncultured bacterium. RNAcentral describes it as "partial 16S ribosomal RNA". It matches the Rfam family "Bacterial small subunit ribosomal RNA", at positions 524 to 776 of the family's 1533-position model. The record is from RNAcentral.
UACGUAGGGUGCGAGCGUUAAUCGGAAUUACUGGGCGUAAAGCGUGCGCAGGCGGUGAUGUAAGACAGGUGUUAAAUCCCCGGGCUUAACCUGGGAACUGCAUUUGUGACUGCAUCGCUGGAGUGCGGCAGAGGGGGAUGGAAUUCCGCGUGUAGCAGUGAAAUGCGUAGAUAUGCGGAGGAACACCGAUGGCGAAGGCAAUCCCCUGGGCCUGCACUGACGCUCAUGCACGAAAGCGUGGGGAGCAAACAGG